This 206-nucleotide ribosomal RNA is filed under the name uncultured bacterium. Its description in RNAcentral is "partial 16S ribosomal RNA". It matches the Rfam family "Bacterial small subunit ribosomal RNA", at positions 568 to 774 of the family's 1533-position model. The record is from RNAcentral.
CGUGCAGGCGGUUUGUUAAGUUCAGGGUGAAAGCUCCCGGCUCAACUGGGAGAGGUCCUUGGAUACUGGCAGACUUGAGGAGGGUAGAGGAGAGUGGAAUUCCCGGUGUAGUGGUGAUAUGCGUAGAUAUCGGGAGGAACACCAGUGGCGAAGGCGGCUCUCUGGGCCCUACCUGACGCUGAGACGCGAAAGCGUGGGAGCGAACC